AAAAACUUAGGAUAAUAUUAAACCAAGAGCCUUCAAAGCUCAAAACAAGGGCGAAACCCCCUUAGUUUUUG
Molecule: transfer RNA, 71 nt
Filed under: Anolis alfaroi
Lineage: Eukaryota; Metazoa; Chordata; Lepidosauria; Squamata; Anolidae
Description: tRNA-Trp
Rfam family: tRNA
About the family: Transfer RNA (tRNA) molecules are approximately 80 nucleotides in length. Their secondary structure includes four short double-helical elements and three loops (D, anti-codon, and T loops).
Source: RNAcentral